AACGAACGCUGGCGGCAUGCCUAACACAUGCAAGUCGAACGAGACCUUCGGGUCUAGUGGCGCACGGGUGCGUAACGCGUGGGAACCUGCCCUUAGGUUCGGAAUAACUCCCCGAAAGGGGUGCUAAUACCGGAUAAUGUCUUCGGACCAAAGAUUUAUCGCCUUUGGAUGGGCCCGCGUUGGAUUAGCUAGUUGGUAGGGUAAAAGCCUACCAAGGCGACGAUCCAUAGCUGGUCUGAGAGGAUGAUCAGCCACACUGGGACUGAGACACGGCCCAGACUCCUACGGGAGGCAGCAGUGGGGAAUAUUGGACAAUGGGCGAAAGCCUGAUCCAGCAAUGCCGCGUGAGCGAUGAAGGCAUUAGGGUUGUAAAGCUCUUUUACCCGGGAUGAUAAUGACAGUACCGGGAGAAUAAGCUCCGGCUAACUCCGUG
RNAcentral lists this ribosomal RNA (433 nucleotides) under uncultured bacterium. RNAcentral's name for it is "partial 16S ribosomal RNA". It matches the Rfam family "Bacterial small subunit ribosomal RNA", at positions 29 to 507 of the family's 1533-position model. The record is from RNAcentral.